AAUUAUUAUAGCUAAAUCACAGUCUAACGGGAAUUGGAAGAAUUACAAGGAUUGGAUUAAACGAGGAUAUCGAAAGGCUGAGAUUGAUAGGUCCCUUAUUGAAGAACCAGUGGAAGAAGUCAUCAUCGAUAGCGAAAACGGGAACAUAUCUAAUACUACCGAUCCUGAUAAAGAAGAUGAUGGAAAUGCGACCGAUGUCACUCUCUCAGCAAAUAAUUCUGAUAAAGAAUUCGACGGAAAUGUGACCAAUGUCACUCUCUCGACAAAUAACUCUG
This is a long non-coding RNA of Gordionus sp. m RMFG-2023, 275 nucleotides long. RefSeq lists it as uncharacterized. The transcript is spliced from 3 exons. NCBI's taxonomy places the organism in Eukaryota, Metazoa, Nematomorpha, Gordioida, Chordodea, Parachordodidae. The record is from RefSeq and is a predicted model, not a curated record.